RNAcentral lists this ribosomal RNA (388 nucleotides) under uncultured bacterium. Its description in RNAcentral is "bacterial SSU rRNA". It matches the Rfam family "Bacterial small subunit ribosomal RNA", at positions 29 to 420 of the family's 1533-position model. The record is from RNAcentral.
AUUGAACGCUGGCGGCAUGCUUUACACAUGCAAGUCGAACGGUAACAGGCCUUCGGGUGCUGACGAGUGGCGAACGGGUGAGUAAUGCAUCGGAACGUGCCCAAUCGUGGGGGAUAACGUAGCGAAAGUUACGCUAAUACCGCAUAAGCCCUGAGGGGGAAAGUGGGGGACCGCAAGGCCUCACGCGAAUGGAGCGGCCGAUGUCAGAUUAGCUAGUUGGUGGGGUAAAGGCCUACCAAGGCCACGAUCGGUAGCUGGUCUGAGAGGAUGAUCAGCCACACUGGGACUGAGACACGGCCCAGACUCCUACGGGAGGCAGCAGUGGGGAAUAUUGGACAAUGGGCGCAAGCCUGAUCCAGCAAUGCCGCGUGUGUGAAGAAGGCCUCGG